UGGCGGCGUUGCCUUAACACAUGCAAGUCAACUUGACUGAAGGAGCAAUCUGACAGUAGAGUUGGCGCAAGGGUGCGUAACGCGUAAGUAACUUGCCCAAGGUAAGGAAUAACGUCGAGAAAUCGGCGCUAAUACCUCAUAAUGCAGCGGAUCCGCAUGGAUAUGUUGUUAAAGGUUUACCGCCUUGGGAUAGGCUUGCGUCUGAUUAGUUAGUUGGUGUGGUAACGGCACACCAAGGCUACGAUCAGUAACUGGUCUGAGAGGAUGAUCAGUCACACUGGAACUGAGACACGGUCCAGACUCCUACGGGAGGCAGCAGUGAGGAAUAUUGGGCAAUGCUCGAAAGAGUGACCCAGCAACGCCGCGUGGAGGAUGAAGGUAUUCUAUAUCGUAACUCCUGUGAGAGCAGACGAAAGACAGAUUAUUAAUCUGGAUGACUGUAUGCUCAGAGGAAGCCCCGGCUAACUACGUG
Molecule: ribosomal RNA, 472 nt
Filed under: uncultured bacterium
Lineage: Bacteria
Description: bacterial SSU rRNA
Rfam family: Bacterial small subunit ribosomal RNA
Source: RNAcentral